CACGUAGGGCGCAAGCGUUGUCCGGAAUUAUUGGGCGUAAAGAGCUCGUAGGCGGUCUGUUACGUCUGCUGUGAAAACCCGGGGCUUAACCCUGGGCUUGCAGUGGAUACGGGCAGACUAGAGGCAGGUAGGGGAGAAUGGAAUUCCCGGUGUAGCAGUGAAAUGCGUAGAGAUCAUGAGGAAGACCAGUGGCGAAGGCGGGUCUCUGGACAGUUCCUGACGCUGAGGCACGAAGGUCAGGGGAGCAAACGGG
Molecule: ribosomal RNA, 253 nt
Filed under: uncultured bacterium
Lineage: Bacteria
Description: partial 16S ribosomal RNA
Rfam family: Bacterial small subunit ribosomal RNA
Source: RNAcentral